This 18-nucleotide small nuclear RNA is filed under the name Arabidopsis thaliana (thale cress). RNAcentral describes it as "snRNA_12274". Lineage: Eukaryota; Viridiplantae; Streptophyta; Magnoliopsida; Brassicales; Brassicaceae. The record is from RNAcentral.
ACGUCGCUGCCGUGAUCG